RNAcentral lists this ribosomal RNA (256 nucleotides) under uncultured bacterium. RNAcentral describes it as "partial 16S ribosomal RNA". It matches the Rfam family "Bacterial small subunit ribosomal RNA", at positions 521 to 776 of the family's 1533-position model. The record is from RNAcentral.
UAAUACGGAGGGUGCAAGCGUUAAUCGGAAUUACUGGGCGUAAAGCGAGUGUAGGUGGUUGCAUAAGUCGGAUGUGAAAGCCCUGGGCUUAACCUGGGAAUUGCAUUCGAUACUGUGUGACUAGAGUCUGAUAGAGGGAAGUGGAAUUCCAGGUGUAGCGGUGAAAUGCGUAGAUAUCUGGAGGAACAUCAGUGGCGAAGGCGGCUUCCUGGAUCAAGACUGACACUGAGGCUCGAAAGCGUGGGGAGCAAACAGG